This 1112-nucleotide long non-coding RNA is filed under the name Callithrix jacchus (white-tufted-ear marmoset). RNAcentral's name for it is "lncRNA (ENSCJAG00000084666.1)". The record is from RNAcentral. Lineage: Eukaryota; Metazoa; Chordata; Mammalia; Primates; Cebidae.
GUGGUUUGGAACAGGGCAGGGAUGGAGGGAAGGUCCUUGUAUCUUAGACAUCAAAAUCCCAGGAAAAUAAUUAGGAGGUGUUUGGGAUUCUGCUGAAAACUCUGACAACAGACCAGAAAUAUCUCCAAGAGCACCAGCAACCCCAGCUAUCUAGACCCGAAGUGGAUAUACUCAGAGGCAUCCUGGCCUACCCCACCCCUGACCCCAGAGAAGAUGCUGCUGCCCUCAGAAGACGCCAGAGCCAGCCACACUGCAAGUCUGGGAGGAUCGAGCAAGGCAGGCUGCUCAGUGAAGGCUUCCUCUCCUGUAGCAGGAAGAGCAUCGUUAAGAACAAGUAUGCAGGGCUGGACUACUCUGGAGAUGUAAUGACCAGAGCUGAGACCCCCGAGACCAGAGUGACUAUGAAGGACUGUCGUCACCUUGUUCCUGAACAUCUAAUGCCUCUCAGCUCCAGGAGGCCACUGAGGAGAAACCGAAGGCUAGUUUUCCUUGGAAGCCAGCAGCCUGUCCACCUGUUCCACUUCCCUGCCUCUUGCAGCCUCCGCUCAAACACUACCAUGGUUUGGGAGCACGGAAAAACUAGAAAAUACAGAAAUAUAUCAAGAAGAAAGAAAUUUAAAAAUCAACCUGAAUCCCACCAACCAGAGACAGCUAUUAAUGAUUGUGGUAUAUUUAUUGCCCAUGGCAUGGAUGGCACCGACAAUCGAGGCAGGCAGUGCUGGUGGAUACACCUAGGAGGUCCUGUUGGAAGAGGACCAUUCGUGUGCAGAAACGAGGAAAUAGACAUGUAUGAGCUGGAAGAAAAUCUUAUCCGUCUGAUUCAAUUCCCUCAUUUCACAGAUACAAAGAAGCAACACUAUGGAGAGGCUGAUACGAUGUCAGAUGGGGAGAACACACAUGAAUCUUCACUUUUCCUAAGCUGUUUCAGACACGAUGCCAGCAAAAACCAACAACAAAAGCAAAUUUCUCAUAAUCAACAACGGCAGCCCCAACUGCCAGACUGUGAAAGCCAUGGAAACCAGUUUGCACUAGAAGAAAGGAAGGAUCUCUGGUUUGAUUUUUUUUCCAUUCAAUUGCAUAAUUCUCAGAUCUGCCUGCGAAUGCUAAAGUGA